GGGCGUUUAGCUCAGUUGGUCAGAGCAGUCGUCUUAUACACGACCGGUCCCUGGUUCGAAUCCAGGAACGCCCACCA
Molecule: transfer RNA, 77 nt
Filed under: candidate division WWE3 bacterium
Lineage: Bacteria; candidate division WWE3
Description: tRNA-Ile
Rfam family: tRNA
About the family: Transfer RNA (tRNA) molecules are approximately 80 nucleotides in length. Their secondary structure includes four short double-helical elements and three loops (D, anti-codon, and T loops).
Source: RNAcentral